Lontra canadensis (Northern American river otter) is the source of this 661-nucleotide long non-coding RNA. RefSeq lists it as uncharacterized. The record is from RefSeq and is a predicted model, not a curated record. NCBI's taxonomy places the organism in Eukaryota, Metazoa, Chordata, Mammalia, Carnivora, Mustelidae. The transcript is spliced from 6 exons.
GGAAGCCCCCUCGCCUUAAUGCAGCGCCCGCCGACGUCACCGCAGCCUGCGACCAAUCAGCGGCUCGCGGUCCCUCUGUAAACCAUUCUGCAUCCCCCGGCCGGGGAGAGUGCCGGGAGACCGCGUUUAGAGGAUCAGUGGCGGCCGCAUCCGCCGCCCGGCGCGGUGCGGGCGGCGGGCAGCGAGGUGCCCGAGCCCCUCCUGCUCCGCACGAAAGGAAAGAGCAAGGUGUAGCUGAUUAGCAAGUUAAUUAUUUCAGUAUCCCAAGGGUUCUGGUGUGGUGGAAGCAGCCCACGGCACCAGGCUCUGGAGAGCCAACUUCCUGACUUCGGCGAUGUGAAGAUGGUCUAAUAAGUUUUUGGUGCCGGCAAGCAGCUGUCCCCCAAGCAGGGGAAUUUCUCCAGAGUCUGUGGUGCCCGGAGGACAUGGCCGGGGCACCCCACAACUCGCCACAGUCCUUCAUCCAGUGUACAGGACCUCAGGGAGCACUCAGUGAAUCCUGCCAACUGAAUCCAGGAGAAAAGCGGAGACGUCACCCUUCGCAUUAAUACCAGCUCUCAAUCUGGGGCGCGGCUUUGAAAGAAGGUUGCUAAGCCUGCUAAAUCCUAGUGCACACCAACACCCCAUUCAUCUGGAAACCCGGAAAAUGGAACUACUCGCU